This 240-nucleotide ribosomal RNA is filed under the name uncultured bacterium. RNAcentral describes it as "partial 16S ribosomal RNA". It matches the Rfam family "Bacterial small subunit ribosomal RNA", at positions 30 to 266 of the family's 1533-position model. The record is from RNAcentral.
AUUGAACGCUAGCGGGAUGCUUUACACAUGCAAGUCGAACGGCAGCGCAGACUUCGGUCUGGCGGCGAGUGGCGAACGGGUGAGUAAUAUAUCGGAACGUACCCAGUAGCGGGGGAUAACUACUCGAAAGAGUGGCUAAUACCGCAUACGUCCUACGGGAGAAAGCAGGGGACCUUCGGGCCGUUCGCACUAUUGGAGCGGCCGAUAUCGGAUUAGCUAGUUGGUGGGGUUAAAGGGCCU